Molecule: ribosomal RNA, 434 nt
Filed under: uncultured marine bacterium 311
Lineage: Bacteria
Description: bacterial SSU rRNA
Rfam family: Bacterial small subunit ribosomal RNA
Source: RNAcentral
CGAGCGCACCCCUAUCCUUAUUUGCCAGCGCAUAAUGGCGGGAACUAUAAGUGAGACUGCCGGUCAUAAACCGGAGGAAGGCGGGGACGACGCUCAAGUCAUCAUGGCCCUUAUGGGUAGGGCUACACACGUGAUACAAUGGGUGGUACAGAGGGUCGCCAAAGCGCGAGCUGGAGCCAAACCCUUAAAACCAUUCUUAGUCCGGAUUGGAGUCUGCAACUCGACUCCAUGAAGUCGGAAUCGCUAGUAAUCGCGAAUCAGAAUGUCGCGGUGAAUACGUUCUCGGGCCUUGUACACACCGCCCGUCACGUCAUGGAAGUGGGUUGCACCAGAAGUGGCUUGUUUAACCUUCGGGAAAACGGUCACCACGGUGUGAUUCACAACUGGGACGAAGUCGUAACAAGGUAGCCCUAGGGGAACCUGGGGCUGGAUCA